CCUACGGGGGACUGCAGUCGAGAAUCAUUCACAAUGGGGGAAACCCUGAUGGUGCGACGCCGCGUGGGGGAAUGAAGGUCUUCGGAUUGUAAACCCCUGUCAUGUGGGAGCAAAUUAAAAAGAUAGUACCACAAGAGGAAGAGACGGCUAACUCUGUGCCAGCAGCCGCGGUAAUACAGAGGUCUCAAGCGUUGUUCGGAAUCACUGGGCGUAAAGCGUGCGUAGGCUGUUUCGUAAGUCGUGUGUGAAAGGCGCGGGCUCAACCCGCGGACGGCACAUGAUACUGCGAGACUAGAGUAAGGGAGGGGGAGCCGGAAUUCUCGGUGUAGCAGUGAAAUGCGUAGAUAUCGAGAGGAACACUCGUGGCGAAGGCGGGUUCCUGGACAUUAACUGACGCUGAGGCACGAAGGCCAGGGGAGCGAAAGGGAUUAGAUACCCGUGUAGUC
RNAcentral lists this ribosomal RNA (446 nucleotides) under uncultured bacterium. RNAcentral's name for it is "partial 16S ribosomal RNA". It matches the Rfam family "Bacterial small subunit ribosomal RNA", at positions 338 to 795 of the family's 1533-position model. The record is from RNAcentral.